CUGCCAUCUAGGGGAGGGGGUGGGAAGUAAGAGGUGAAAAAUUGGAACAAGAAGUUUGGCAAUUGUUAAUGCUGUAAAGUUACCCAUGCAUAUAACCUGUAAAUAAAAGGCUAUUAAAUAACAACAAAAAAAGGAAAGAGUAUUAUGCUUCACAAUUAUACAAAGUCCACUUUACAUAACUGAAUGAUGAAUGCCUAGGCAAAAGAGGUAUGGACAGUUAGAACCAGGUUUAGAAUAUUUUCAUAAAUUACCCACUGUCGUCAUUAUUAUUCAAUAUCAUAUUAGCAAUGUUAGAUUUGGCAAUAAAAGAAGAAAAAGAGAUUAAAGGAAUUAGAGUAGGCAAUGAGGAAACCAAAAUAUCACUCUUUGGAGAUAUGAUGGUAUUCUUAGAGAAACUUAGAGAAUCAACUAAAAAAAAAUGUUAGAAACAAUUUAUAUUAGCAAAAUUAUAGAUAACAAAAUAAAUCCACAUAAAUCAUCAUUUUUAUAUAUUACCAAACAAAGUUCAGCAGCAAGAUAUACAAACAGAAAUUCCAUUUAAAAUAACUGUCGAUAGUAUAAAAUACUUAGGUAUAUAUCAGCCAAGGAAACUAUAUGAACACAACUACACAACACUUUCCACACAAAGUCAGAUUUCAUUACUUCUUAGAGGAGAUUAGUAUUCUGCUUUAUUUAUAUACCACUGUUUCGUCAGCUGUUUUCCAAUUGAUAAAUAUGUCAAUUUCUUUGAUGCCCUGUCCCCCCAAAAGUUUUUGUAAGUAUUUUUAUAUUCGUGGGUCCUCUUACUCAUUCUUUGAGCUCUUUUACUUAUAAGCUUAAAAAAAGUGUCACUGGGUAAAAGAUAUUCAUGAUUUAAUUAUUUUGGAGUAUAUGUCUGAACUUGCUCUCCAGAAUGGCUAGACUAGCCCACAAUUCAACCAACAGUAUUAAUAUAACUAUUUCUACAACAUUUUCACUUCCAACACUUUCUUUUUAAUCUUUUCCCAUCUACUAGUCAUCAGCUAUAACCUUAGAUAUAUUCCAAUUUGCAUAUCUUUAAUUAUUGACAGAACAUUUUUCCACAUACCUGUUAACUUUUUAAUUUAAUUUUUUAAUGGAAACAUUCACUUUUUAUUAUUUUUAUUAUUAUUUAUUUUUAUGAUUAUUUUUAUUUUUAUAAUUUAUUGUAUUUUAUUAUAAUUUUAAACAUUUAUAUGACAAAUUAAUGUUUAUGAAAGAUUUAUGUUUUUUAAUAUUAUGCACAUACAUUCAUUUUAAAGAAAUUUCUAUAAACAUCUUGUUGGGAGAAAAAAAAUCAAAAAGAGAUAUAAGAAAACUAUAAGGAAAAAAAAAUGAACAGAAGACAGAAAUAAGGUGAAAAUUAUAUGUGAUGAUACACAUUUAGUCUCCAUAUUUCUUUCUCUAGAUGUGUAUGCCAUUUUCCCUCCAAACUUUGAGAUUGCCUCGAAUCACUGAAUUGAUGAGUCUAUCAUAAUUGAUUAUUGCAGAAUCUUCUUGUUGUUGUGUACAGUGAUAUUCUGGUUUUCCUUGAUUCACUUAGCAUUAGUUCAUGUGAAACUUUUCAGACUUUUAAAAAAUCAGCUUGGGCAGCAUUUUUUUAUAGAAUAAUAAUAAGCAUCUAUUCUUUUUCCAAUUCUAGGUCACCAUAGAAAGAGUUACUACAAGCAUUUUUAAACACCUCUAUCUGUUUCAUUCAUGAUUUCUUUGGGACACCAACACAAUAGUGGCUCUGCAUGAUCAAAGGGUAUGCACAAUCUGAUAAUCCUUUGGAUAUGGUUCCAAAUUGCUCUCCAGAAUGGUGAUAUCAGAUCACAACUCCAUCAGCAAUGCAUCAGUGUACCCUGUUUUCCCACAUCACCUCCAAUAUUUAUCAUACUGUCCUUUUAUGUUAGCCAAUCAGAUAUGAGUAAGAUGGUACCUCAGGGUGGUUUUAAUUUACAUUUCUCCAAUCAAUAAAUACUUAGAACAUCUUUCCAUAAGUCUAUAUUUGGAUUUAACUUCUUCAUAUGCCAAGUAUUUGUUCCCAUCCAUUGAUCAUUCAUCAGCAGGAUAAUGGCUUGGAUUCUUAUAUUUUGAGUCAAUUCUCUAUGUUUUAGAAAUGAGGCCUCUUUCAGAAACACUGAAUGUAAAAACUAUUUCCCAGCUUUCUGCUUUGGCUGCACUGGUUCAAUUAAAAAAAAAAUGUUUUUAACUUAAUGUAAUCUAAAUUUAUCCAUUUUGUAUUUCAUAUUGUUCUUUAAAUCUUGUUUGGUCAUAAAAUUUCCCUUCUCCAAAGAUAUGAGAAAUAAAUGAUCCCUUCCCACAAUUUGCUUAUAACGAUUACCCUUUGUGUUUAAUUCAUGUGCCCAUUGUGAUCAAAAAAAGGUCAGGGUGUAAGGUAUAGGUCUAUGCUGGGUUUUUGACAUACCAUAUUCCAGUCUUCUCAGCAAUUUUGGAUAAAGAGUUAAGUUUUUAUCCCAGAAGCUAGAGUCUUUGGGUUUAAUCAAACAAUACCUUUCUAUAGCCAUGGACUAUCUGUUUUGCAUAUCCAACCUAUUUUACUGCUUUACCACUUUAUUUCUUAGAUCAGUACCAGAUAGUUUUGAUGAUUGCUACUUUAUAACAGUUUUAGGUUUGGUACUGAUAGACCACCAUCUUUUGCAUUUUUUACCCACUAAUUCCCUUAAUAUUCUUGAAUUGUCUGUUUCCAGAUCAAUUUUAUUAUUUCAUGCCUCAUGCAAUCAUUUCUGGGCAAUUUGAUUUGUAUGGCCAUGAGCAAGUAGAUUCAUUUAAGCACAACUGUCAUUUUUAUUAUAUCAGCUUGGCCUAACAAAGAACAGUUGACAUUUUCCUAAUAAUCUAAAUCUUUGUGUGAAAAGUGUUUGGUAAUUCUGCUCUUAUCGUUCCCGGGUUUGUUUUGGCAGAUAUAUGGCCAAGAAUUUUAUUUUGUCUUAAGUUAUUUUAAAUGGAAUUUCUCUAUUUCUUGUUACUGGGUAUUUUUGUCAACAUGCACAAAUGCUACUGAUUUAGGUUCAUUUUAUGUCCUUCAACUUUGCUAAAGUUGUUGCUUCAAGUCAUUUUUUGGUUAAGUAUACUGUCAUGUCAUGUGCAAAAUAUGCUAAUUUUUCCUUCCUCAUUGCCUACUUUAAUUCCUUCUAUUUAUUAGAAACCACAUUUGUAGUACAAAAUUGAAUACUAGAGAUAAUAAAUCGCAUCUUUGUUUCACCCCGAUCUAAUUGAAAUGCAUCCAGCUUCUCUUCAUUACAAAUAAUGCUUUUGGUUUUAGAAAUAUGCUGCUUAUCAUUUUAAGAAAAACUCAUUUAUUCAUAUAGUCUCAAAUGCUUUUAAUAGUACCGGGUGCUGUAUUUUGUGAAAAGUUUUUUCUGCAUCUACUGAGAUUAUCAUAUGAUUUCUGUUUUUCAGUUAUGGCAAUGUAGUCCUGGAAAAACUCGUAUUUGAUUACAGUGUAUUGUCCUGUUAAUAAAUUGUUGUACUGUUUUUGGUAAUACUUUAAAUGUUUUGCAUAAAUAUUCACUAAUCUGUAAUUUUUUUGUUUUGGUUUCUCUUGAUUUUAGUAGUGGAAUUUUUUUUUUUAAUAUAGGUAGAAUUGAUUUGUAAAUUCAUCUGGGCUUGGGGAAUUUUUUUUCCCUCGAGGAGUUCACUAAUGGUUUGCUCAAUAUCUCUUUUAAAAAUGGGAAUAUGUAAUAUUUUAUUUCCUCUUCUGUUAAUCUGGACAAUAUAUACAUAUUUUUAAUGUUCAACCAUUUCAAUUUGUCAGAUUUGUUGGAUAAAAUAGAUCCUAAUUAGUGCGGUAAUUUCCUCUUCAGUGGUAAGUUAAAACUUUUCAUUUUUCAUGAGGGUAACUUUGUUUUCUUUUCUUUUUCUUCUCAAAUUAACCAAAGUUUAUCUAUUUUGUUAGGGUUUUCAUAAAACCAACUUUUAAUUUUAUUAAUUAGUUCAAUAGAUUUCUUCCUUUCAAUUUUAUUCGUCUUUCCUUUGAUUCUCAGAAUUUCCAAUUUGGUAUUAGGUCUUUUUCCAGCCUCUAUAGUUGCAUAAUCUCUUUUCUCUAUUUUAUUGGUAUAAAGCAUUUAGAGAUUAAAAAAAAAAAUUCCCCUAAUAAUUGCUUUGACUAUAUCCCAUAACUAUUGGUAUUUUGUCUUCCUCUUCUCAUUCUCUUGAACAAAAUUGUGGUUCCUGUGAUUUGUUGUUUGACUCGCUCAUUUAAUUUGCAAUUAUUUUUAAUCUUAUCUUUCCCUGAACCUUUAUUAAAUAUAAUUUUUAUUGCAUGUUUUUCAGAAGAGGAUGAAUUUACUCUUUCUACCUUUCUGCAUUUCUUUGUGAGAUUUUUAUGUCCUAGAAUAUUUUAUCAAGAUAUAGCUUUCUUCUUUCUUUUAUUAGGUCUGUUUUAGCUUAUUAUUCUGUCUGAAAUCUUAAUUGCUACCUUUGGCUUUUUUUGCUUCACAAUAUAUUCUGCUUCAGACCUUUGUCUUUACUCUGUUUCACUGUUUCAAAUGUGUUUUUUGUAGACAAUGUACAGUUUUUAAUCCACCCUGCUAUCUGCUUACAUUUUAUUGGAGAAUUUGUUCCAAUUAUCUUCUUUUUGGUGGUAAAUUUGUUUACAUUUAAUACACAUUGCUUUAUUAAUCAUGGUGGAAGAAAAAAAAUCAGAGCAAAAGGGAAAAGCCAUGGAAUCUAUUUUUUAAAAAAAUAGAAAAAAGAAGUGAACAUAGCACAUGUGGAUUUAUGUUCUGUCUCCCCAGUUCUUUUUCUAGAUGCAGAUGGCAUUUUCUGUCUAAAGUCUAUUGGGAUUGCUUUGGAUCACUGAAUCUCUGAGAAGAACCAAAUCUUUCAUAGUUGAUCAUUGCACAUUCUUACUGUUACUGUGUACAACGUAUUCCUGGUUCUGCUUGUUUUGCUCAGCAUCAAUUCAUGUAAAUCUUUCUAGGCCUUUCUACAAUCAUCUUCCUCAUUUUCUAUACUGUAAUAAACUUCCACUAUUUUCAUAUAUCGCAAUUUGUUUAGUCAUUCCCCAAUUGAUGGGUAUGUACUAAUUUUCCAAUUCUUUGCUAUGACAAUACGAUCUGCUACAGUUUUGCAAAUGUCGAUGCUUUUCCCUCCUUCACUAUUUCCUUAGGAUACAGAUCUAGUAAUGGCACUGCUGGGUCAAAAGGUAUGCAAGCUUUAUAGCCCUUUAGUUCCAGAUUGUUCUCCAGAAUGAUUGAAUCAUUUCACAUCUCCACCAACAAUGCAUUAGUGUCCCAAUUUUCCUACAAUCCCUUCCAAUAUUUGUCAUUAUCUUUUUCUGUCAUCUUUGCCAAUCUGAAAGGUUUGAGGUGGCAUUUCAGAGUUGUUUGAAUUUGCAUUUCUCUAAUCAAUAAUCAUGUACAGCAUUUAUGAUCUUAAAUGGCUUUAAUUUCAUCAUCUAUUUAUAUCCUUUGACUAUUUGCCAAAUGAGGAAUGACUUGUAUUCUUAUAAAUUUGAUACAGUUCUCUUAUAUAUUGUAGAAAAUGAAAAAGACUUUUAUCAGAUAAAAAACUAGCUGUGAUAUUUUCCAAACUUUGUAAUUCCCUUUUAAUCUUGUUUCUCUUGAUUUUUUUUGUGCUAAAACAAUAUAAUGUAAUGUAAUCAGAGUUGUCUAUUUUGCAUUCCAUAAUGUUGUCUAGUCCUUUAGUAAUAAAUUACUCCCUUCUCCAAAGAUAUGAUAGGCAAAUUAUUGCUUAAUUUCCUAAUUUGCUUAUGGCAACACUCUUUAUCCCCAAAUUAUAUAUUUUGACUUUAUUUUAAUAUGAGGUGUGAGAUGAAGUUCUAUGCUGAGUUUCUGACAUUUUGGAGUUUUCUCAGAAAUUUUUGUAAAAGAGCAAGUUCUUAUCACACCACUUGAAUUAAAUUUGGGGGUUUAUCAAAUACUAGAUCACUAUAGGCAUUGAUUAUUGUGUAAUAUCUAACCUAUUGCACUGGUCCACUACUCUAUUUCUUAGCCAAUACCAAAUGGUUUUGAUAAUUGUUACUUUAUAAUAAUAGUUUUAGGUCUGGUACUUCUAAGCCUCCAUCUUUUGUAUUUUUUUUCAUUAAUUCACUUGAUAUUCUUGCCCUUUUAUUCUUUCCGAUGAAUUUUUAUAUUUUUUCUAGUUCUACAAAAUAAGUUUUGGCAGUUUAAUUGGUAUGGCACUGAAGAGGUAGAUCAAUUGAGGUAGAACUGUCAUUUUCCUGACAUUAGCUUGACCUAAUUAUGAGCAAUUGAUAUUUUUCCAAUUUUUAGAUUUCACUUUAUUUGUGUGAGAAGUGUUUUGUAAUUGUGUUCAUAUACUUCCUGGGUUUGUCUGGACAGGAAGACACCCAAGUAUUUUAUUUGGUGUACAAUUAUUUUAAGUCAAAUUUCUUUCCAUCUUUUGCUGCUGGGCUUUGUCAGUGAUGUUUAAAAAAGAUGAUGAUUUGUAUGUAUAUCCUGCAACUUUGCUAAAGCUGUUAAUUUUUCAAGUAGGCAUUUGGAAGAUCUUCUAGGAUUCUCUGUGUAUAUCAUCAUGUCAUCUGCAAAGAGUAAUAGGUUUAUCUUCUCAUUGCCUAACCUACUUUCUUUCAUUUCUGUUUCUUUUUUUGCUUAAGUCAAUAUUUCUAGUAAAAUGCUGCAUAAAAGUGGUGAUAAUGGCAUCCUUGUUUCACCCCUAAUCUUAUUGGGAAUACAACUACUUUCACUUCACUCCAUUACAAAUGAUGUUUGUUGUUGGUUUGAGAUUUUAUUUUAAGGAAAAUUCCCUUCGUCCCUAUGCUCUCAUGUUUUUAAUAGGAAUGGGUGCUGUCCUUUAAUAGGAAGGAAAAGCUGUUUUCUGCAUGUAUUAAGAAUAUCUUGUGAUUUCUGUUGAUUAUGGCAAUGGUUUUCCCAAUAUUGAACCAGCCCCAUAUUCCUGAUAUAAAUCCCACUUGGCUUUCUGACAUAAUGUAUUAUCCUACUGAUAUAUUGGUGUAAAUUCUUUGUAAAUACUUUAUUUUAAAUGUUUUACUCAUUAGGAAGAUUGUUCUAUAAUUUUCUUAACCUAAAUUAGGAACAGCCAAAAUAGAGAAAGACUUGAAGUAGAUUAUCAGUUUCAUAUUUGUAUCAUGGAAAGAAUUUGGCAGGACUCCUUCUUUGCCUAUUUUUGGAACCAGUUUAUUGAAAUUAAUUGUUCUUUAAAUGGUGGGUAGAAUUCACUCUAAAUCCCUCUAGCCUUUUGAGAACUUUUUCGUAGGAAGUUCAUUGAUGGCUUGUUCAAUUUCUUUUUUUCUAAAAUGGGACUAUUUAAAAAAAUUAGUUUCCAUUUCUGUUAAUCUGAGCAAUUUACAUUCCGUAAAUAUUCAUUCAUUUUGAUUGUCAUAUUUGCUGGCAUAAAGUUGGGCAAAAUAGCUUUUAAUUAUUGCUUUAAUUGUCUUAAUUUUUUCCCUAUUUUAUUAUUUUGUUCUAUUUUUUUUUUCAUAAAAAGCUCUUAGAUUUAUUAAUCAUUUCAACGGUUCACUUAGUUUCCAUUUAAUUGCUUUGAGUCCAGGAUAUCUAAUUUUGUAUUUAAUUGGGAUUUAAAUUUUUUUAGCUUUUUUAGUUGCAUGCUCAAUUCAUUGAUCUCCUCUUUCUCUAUUUUAUUCAUGUAACUAUUUAGAGUUACAAAAUUUUCCCAAAGAACUCUUUUAGCUGUAUUUCAUAAGUUUUGGUAUGUUCUCUUAUUCUCAUUCUCUUGGAUUGCUUCUGUGAUUUGUUGUUUGAGCCACUCAUUAUCUAGAACUAGAUUAUUUGUUCCAACUGGUUUUUAAUCUAUCUUUCCCUAAAUCUUUAUUGAAUUUUUAUUGUAUAGUGGUCUGAAAUGGAAAUAUUUACUUGGCCUUUCUGCAUUUGAUUGUGAGGCUUUUAUGCCUUAUACAUGGUCACUUUUUUUGUAGGUGCUAUGUACUAUGGAGAAAAAGAUGCAUUCUUUUUUGUGCCUAAUCAAUUUUCUCCAGAGAUCCAUCAUACCUAGAUUUUCUAGGAUGCUAUUAAUUUCCUUAAGUUUCUUGUUCAUUUUGUUGUUAGAUUUGUCUCAUUUGAGAGGGAAGGUUGAAAUCUCCUACAAAAAUAGUUUAACAAUCUAUUUCUUCCUGUAACUGUGUUAAUAUCUUCUUUAGGAAUCUGGGUCCUCUACUACUUGGUGUAUAUAUGUUUAGUAUAUGCUUAUGAUUCCCCUUUAACAAGAUGUAUGUAAGCUCCCCUUCUGAGGCUACGAUGGGCUUGGGCAAUACAUACCAAUCUCCCCCGAACAGACCUGAAGACCCGAUGUUAAGGAGCCAAACAGCCUUUCUUUAUUGAUAAUCUCAGCUGGGGUUAGCAGGAAGCAAGAGCAACUGUAUGUAUGUCUCUGCAUCUCUCUGCUUCUCUGAAUCUCUCUACAUCUCUGCCUCUCCUCUUCGAAUCCUUCUUCACCUAUGGAGAAGUACUUUGGUAUUCCAAUACUCUGCUUUAAUAUCAAAGAAGACUUUUUUUUUCAGAUUUUAAAGAUGCACCAAUAAUGCCCCAAUUUGAUUAGCACAGUCAUAAUCCGAUAAUCUUGCCUAAGAUUGCAAAGAUUGGGGUUAAACCUAGAGGCAAGUUCUCUUCCAAGAAUCUCAACUAUUAUGAUCAUUAGAUAUAAAAACAAUUCAUAAGGCCUAGAAAUACUGAUAAAAAUCCUGUUCUAGGAAUUGGGAGUAAAUAUGGAAGUACAAUACUUCUGAAAUUGACCUAUCAGAAGUGUAAGAUGCAUUGUACUUCCAUGUUUGGCUGAAGAGUUGCAAAAGGAUGCCUCCAAAUUCCUUCUAUGACACAGACAUGGUACUGAUACCUAAACCAGGUAGGCUGAAAACAGAGAAAGAAAAUUACAGAAACUUAUCAUAUCUGAGUGGGCACUAAACAGUGAAGAGGAAACCUCUUUAUCUUUUUUUUUCCCUUUUACCCUGUGGCUCAGAGAAAUGGGCUGUGGUAUUUGUUUCUCUUCUUUUUUAUUUGGCCAUAUCUGUUUCUAGGAAGAAGUGAUAGAAUCCCAAACAGAGCUAGGAGUUUAAGCCAUGACAAGAUGGGAUGUAGCAGCCCGCCAGUCCAGUGGAAAAGCCCAAAGAAACCGGGUGCCUGGCUGUAAUGUUCAGGCUAGCUUUCUGGAGGUCCUCAGGCAGGGCCUUGGUCUCAGCAGGGUAGACACCACGAGAAUGGACAAGAAUAGAGUCCAAAGGCUUCACUGUCUCUUACACACUCUGUGUCUAUCAUAGUCUGACCCAGUCUCCUCCAGCAGUCUAACAAUCUGAACCAGUCUCCCUCAGAGUCUGACUUUGUCCCCAGUUUAAAUACCCUAAUACCAUUACAUCAUUACAGUAUACUGAGUAAGUGUGAAGUAGAGAACCCUGGGGGGCUGAGCCAAGAUGGCAGAGAAGGCAC
This 9383-nucleotide long non-coding RNA is filed under the name Sarcophilus harrisii (Tasmanian devil). RNAcentral describes it as "lncRNA (ENSSHAG00000029106.1)". The record is from RNAcentral. Lineage: Eukaryota; Metazoa; Chordata; Mammalia; Dasyuromorphia; Dasyuridae.